AUGUCCAGAGCCUCGAUGUCCUGCAAAUGAAGGAGGGGAAUAUCCUCUAGUUUCUUGCAGCAGGAACCCACUUAGGUGGCACCAACCUGGUUCCAGUUGGAACAGUAUAUCUACAAAGGAAAGUGACGGCAUUUACAUCCUAAAUCUGAAGAAUCUAAUUCUGUUGGCAGCUUGUACCAUUGUUGCCAUUGAAAACCCUUCUGGUCAGUCUCAUGUCCUCCCGGAAUCCUGGCCAGCGGGCUGAGCUGAGCUUUGCUGCUGCCACAGGAGCCACUCCUAUUGCUGGCCACUUCACCCCUGGAACCUUCAUUAACCAGGUCCAGGCAGCCUUCUGGGAGCUGCGUCUGUUGGUAGAUACUGAUCCCAGGGUGGCCACUGGCCUCUCACAGCAGCAUCUCAUGAUAACCUACCUACCAUACCUCUGUGGAACACAGGUUCUCCUCUGCGCUGUGUGGAUAUUUCCAUCCCAUGCAACAAGGGAGCUCACUCGGGGGUCUGAUGUGGGGAAUGCUGGCUCAGGAAGUUCUGCACAUGCCUGGCACUGUCUCCUGUGAACACCCAUUAGAGAUCAUGCCUGAUCUCUGCUUCUACAGAGAUCCCGAAGAGAUGGAAAAAAGAACAGGCUACUGCUGAAAAAGCUAUGACCACAGACCACAGAGGAAUUUCAGAUUUCCGGGUGAAUGGACUGCUCCAGCUCCUGAGUUCACUGCUAGUUAGCCUGAGGUUGCAGACUGGUCGGAGGCAUGCAGGUACCCAGUGUCUAUCCAGCAGUUCUCUAUUGAAGAUGUGGAACACUCAGCCUGCCAUGGAAGACUGACCUUCAGCUCUCAUUGCUCAGGCCACUAAACGGGUAGGAACAACCAAUGUGUGGU
Molecule: long non-coding RNA, 872 nt
Filed under: Homo sapiens (human)
Lineage: Eukaryota; Metazoa; Chordata; Mammalia; Primates; Hominidae
Description: non-protein coding lnc-NPM1-1:1
Source: RNAcentral